This 711-nucleotide small RNA is filed under the name Vigna angularis var. angularis. Its description in RNAcentral is "Non-protein coding transcript". The record is from RNAcentral. Lineage: Eukaryota; Viridiplantae; Streptophyta; Magnoliopsida; Fabales; Fabaceae.
AUCGAAUUUCAAUAAAUAAAUAAAUUUAAUUACGUGUCCCUUAAGAUUAAUCAAGGUACAAACACAUAAUAAUUCUCAACCAAUAAUUUCUUAAUCAAAACAUAAUAUAGUAGGGAAAUGUUGAAGACUUAACCUACCAGUGAUGAGAUUCAUAUCUGUGGGAACAAUGCAUUCGUCAUAGCCAGUAUUGUCUUCGUCGUCGGAUUCCGCCGGAAGACGCGUGCCGUGGCCGCUGUAGUGGACAAAGAGGGCGUCGCGGGGCUUGGCGGACCGGACAAGCUUGGACAGAGCCAACCUGAUGUUCUUGCCGGGAAAUGGAAGAUUGGAGAAGAUUAAAGAGAUACUGCUAGAAGCCACUCGUCCAGUGAAACAUUGGCAACUCUAGUCCAGCUAAGAAGCCCAAUGAGCUUAAGAAGCCACAUGUCAGUAAAGCUACCUCUCACCCACCGAGAGGAUUUGGUGGCCUAACAAGAAAACACUUUUUGAUGAACAUUUUGAAGUGUCAAGAGUUGAAGAAAAGAUAGUUUUUUGGAUGUGGAAACAAACUAGAUGCUCAAGACAUAGGCUGAGGCAUUUCUAGGGCUCAAGAACUCCAUCUUCCUCAAUCAUUUUCAUCAUUCUAAUUCAUUCUUGUGUUCUAGAUAUAUAGAAGUAGCUAAACUUCAUUUUAUUGGGGUUGGAUGUAAUGUACUUAAACUUUGUAGUUUUUUC